This 1955-nucleotide long non-coding RNA is filed under the name Pan troglodytes (chimpanzee). RNAcentral's name for it is "long non-coding RNA NONPTRT006385". Lineage: Eukaryota; Metazoa; Chordata; Mammalia; Primates; Hominidae. The record is from RNAcentral.
AGACAGUCAAGUUCCUGGGAAGCCCACUGCAGAUGCAGAUAGCAGAGGCCUGGAUGGACCUGCAGUAUCUUGGCAGGGCCUAUGGCAAACCAGAAAGGGCUAGCGUUGAAACCCAGGUUCUAAAUGGCUUUAUUUUUUCCAUGACUUUUUCCUCCUAAUAUUCAAUGUCCUUGCAAGACUGAUGGAUCCUAGGGUUUGAAUCCACAAAGAAUCAAAAAUGCAGUUUAUGGUCUGACCAAGGGACUGAAGAAAGCCUGCGGUUGAUCCUGGUGACCCCCCGACUGGCGUUUACAGUGCAGCCAUGCCAUGGCUGGGGGACAUGGCUCAAGAUGGAGUCCCUCCUCUCAUGAUCCAGCCACAAAGGCUUGCCUGAGUCCUUGGGAAGGUUCCAGAUCAGGCUUCCCGUCAGACGCUGUCCUCACCUCCGAUGAUCUGCUCCAAUGGCAUCUGUGACUCUGCCAAAGCCCUGCUCUCUGGAAAAAGAGCAAACAAAGCAAUUUCAGCAAACAGUGGAGGACAGGCCCUGCUCUUACAGGAAGCCCAGGUUCACCCAGAAACGCAUCAUCCCGGCCCAGGCACAUCUGGUUUCCUCUACACUCUUCACCCAGAGACCUAGGGAUAUUUCUACCCAGGUAGGAACAGAGCAGGAAGGAAAUUGCUUUUAAGUAUUGACAGCUCCCAACAUUGAACCAGUGUUGCUUAAUUAAUGGGAAUGCUGAUGGGAUUCCUCAGGCUCCCCUCCCUUGAGCAAAUGGACAACUCCACCUUAGAAACACCAUUGCCUUGGAGGUUAAUCCUCAGUUCUCCUUGGCACUGUUUGUCCUUCAUCAAAAGAGUAACCCAGAAUUUCUCUCCCCUUCAGAGUGUACCCCUCAACUCCUUUUUGAAUGAAUAAGAAACAGAUCAACAGUAUCUCGUUGACUUGAGUGAUCUAAAUGAACCUCUGCCUAACUUCUGUUUCAAGCCACACAUGACCUCACUCACUUCAGAAGGGCCUCCAGUUCCCGCUUGACUUUGCCCACAACGGGUGGCCCCCAGAAGGUGAGGGCCGUGUACAGCUGCACCAGGGAGGCCCCUGCCCGGAUCUUCUCCAGCGCGUCCUGCCCGCUGCUCACACCACCAACCCCAAUUAUGGGAACUCGGCCUACAGAGAAGCACAUGGCGACACCAUAAAGAAGGAUGUGGCUUCAGCCCCAGAGUCCCCCACAAUCAAGGCAGAUUAGGGAAUGAUGAUUCCCAUCACGACCCAGGAGCCCAAGCCACACGCAGAUCUGAAGACACAAACACGGGAAACCUUGCCUUGGAGACCCGCUGUCCAGACAGGCUGGAGAGAGGAGUGAGAGAAAGAAUUUUCAGUCCCAGUCAAGACUGGCCAAGGAGCCAAGCUCAAGCCUUAACCUUGCUGGAUGCAGUUGACGAAAGAGAGGAAGAGGCAUUAGAAAAACUCCUUCAAGCACUUAUUCCAACAUUCGCUUUUGACCACAGGGUGAGUUACACCAUGACACACACCAAACCAGCCUUGAAUACCAAGGAGAGGAAAUCACAAAGAACGCCAUUCUGGGCUAGCCCAGCUGGCCAAACGGCCUCUGCAGACCAUGGGAGGCACACCCUGGGCCCAGGCCCCGAAUCAAACCUCUUUGACCACACUGGCAAUGUCCUCCUUGUCCUGGCUGGUGAGGUCAGGAGCGAUCUUCACCAGGACUGCCGGCCUGUGCACUCUCCGCAAGCCAUCCCUCUCCUGUAGCACCUAGGGCGACACACGGCCAGAGCUGGGGACCCCACAGACCACAGCCCCGCAGUGCAGCUGUGACCUACGCUGCAGGUCAGUGGGUUUCCACAAUAGCGAUCAAACUAAAGCAGAAACAAUUUCUUUUCAGGAAAGCCAGCCCUCAGACAUGUGAGGAGCACAGUCAAGAUGGAUCCAAUUCCAUUCUUUUAGGCCAAGGGAUCCCGUG